Molecule: long non-coding RNA, 261 nt
Filed under: Rattus norvegicus (Norway rat)
Lineage: Eukaryota; Metazoa; Chordata; Mammalia; Rodentia; Muridae
Description: long non-coding RNA NONRATT024986
Source: RNAcentral
GACAAACCUAGCGAAUGACUCAGUCCCUGUGGAGGAAAUGGUGGUGCCUGCUACUGGAACCCAACUAGAAUUACAAGCUGGGUCAAGAUGGCCACCAGAGGAGGGGCCUCAUGGUCGGAUGCUUCCUUCAAGGGAUAGAGUCAGUCUCAAAUGAGAUUUCCACGCAGCUUAUAGACACCAUCUAGGAAUCAUCUGCAGACAACAACUGUUCCAAUUAGCUGCAAACCUUGGACUUAAUAAAAGUUGGUAUGAACUAUUUCA